Molecule: small RNA, 45 nt
Filed under: marine eukaryotic metagenome
Description: ffh sRNA
Rfam family: ffh sRNA
Source: RNAcentral
CAAGGAUCGCCCCCCGUCAGCGCGUUGCGCCCACGGGGGUGAUUG